RNAcentral lists this unclassified non-coding RNA (348 nucleotides) under soil metagenome. RNAcentral describes it as "partial contains 5.8S ribosomal RNA, internal transcribed spacer 2, and large subunit ribosomal RNA". The stretch from base 1 to 120 matches the Rfam family "5.8S ribosomal RNA", at positions 35 to 154 of the family's 154-position model. The record is from RNAcentral.
GAUGAAGAACGUAGCGAAAUGCGAUAAGUAAUGUGAAUUGCAGAAUUCAGUGAAUCAUCGAAUCUUUGAACGCACAUUGCGCCCGCCAGUAUUCUGGCGGGCAUGCCUGUCUGAGCGUCAUUUCAACCCUCAUGCCCCUAGGGCGUGGUAUUGGGGAUCGGCCAAAGCCCGCGAGGGACGGCCGGCCCCUAAAUCUAGUGGCGGACCCGUCGUGGCCUCCUCUGCGAAGUAGUGAUAUUCCGCAUCGGAGAGCGAUGAGCCCCUGCCGUUAAACCCCCAACUUUCCAAGGUUGACCUCAGAUCAGGUAGGAAUACCCGCUGAACUUAAGCAUAUCAAUAAGCGGAGGA